Molecule: transfer RNA, 69 nt
Filed under: Hemilepidotus gilberti
Lineage: Eukaryota; Metazoa; Chordata; Actinopteri; Perciformes; Cottidae
Also listed under: 3 other names
Description: tRNA-Met
Rfam family: tRNA
About the family: Transfer RNA (tRNA) molecules are approximately 80 nucleotides in length.
Source: RNAcentral
AGUAAGGUCAGCUAAUUAAGCUCUUGGGCCCAUACCCCAAACAUGUUGGUUAAACUCCUUCCUUUACUA